UCCGGGGCAGCCUAAUCAGGGCCAACCCGUCUCUGUGGCAAAAGAGUGGGAAGACCCCCGAGUAGAGGUGACAAGCCUACCGAGCCUAGUUAUAGCUGGUUGCUUAAGAAAUGAAUGUUAGUUCAGCCUUAUGUAAUUCUAUAACCGAAACAAUUAUUAACCAAAAGAACAAAAGCAAUACAUAAGAGUUAGUCAAAGGGGGUACAGCCCCUUUGAAACAGAACACAACCUUAUUCAGGAGGACAAGGAUCAUAUCAUAAAAGGACAAAAUUACCUCAGUGGGCCCAAAAGCAGCCACCUGUAAAGAAAGCGUUAAAGCUCCGGUAAAUGCAGACCAAUAAUAAAGACAACACACUCCCUACCCCCUAAAAAUAUUAAGCUAUCCUAUGCACACAUAGGAGAAACAAUGCUAAAAUCAGUAAUAAGAGGACCCAAGUCCUCUCCUAGCACAUGUGUAAGUCAGAACGGACCAACCACUGACAAUCAACGGACCCACAAGAGAGAAAAAGAACAAACUACAAAAAACAAGAAAAAACUAUUUAACACCCCAAACCGUUAACCCAACACAGGAGUGCCUCAAGGAAAGACUAAAAGGAGAAGAAGGAACUCGGCAAACACAAACCCCGCCUGUUUACCAAAAACAUCGCCUCUUGCUAACAAAGGAAGUACUAGAGUCCCGCCUGCCCUGUGACCACAAAGUUUAACGGCCGCGGUAUCCUGACCGUGCGAAGGUAGCGUAAUCAUUUGUCUUUUAAAUAGAGACCUGUAUGAAUGGCAUAACGAGGGUUUAACUGUCUCCCUCCCCCAGUCAAUGAAAUUGAUCUGCCCGUGCAGAAGCGGACAUAAACACAUAAGACGAGAAGACCCUAUGGAGCUUUAGACAAAAGAUCAAACAUGUAAAGAAACCAAACCAACCAAAAGGAACACAAAGGCCACAAAACCCAACGUAAAAUGAUCAAAAUGUCUUCGGUUGGGGCGACAUGGGGGAAAGAAAAGCCCCCACGAGGAACUAAGGGCAAUCCAUUAAGCCAAGAGAUACACCUCUAAGCAACAGAAAAUCUGACCAAAAAUGACCCAGGACACUAAUCCUGAUCAACGAACCAAGUUACCCUAGGGAUAACAGCGCAAUCCUUUCCCAGAGCCCAUAUCGACGAAAGGGUUUACGACCUCGAUGUUGGAUCAGGACAUCCU
This 1191-nucleotide ribosomal RNA is filed under the name Anguilla marmorata (giant mottled eel). RNAcentral describes it as "partial 16S ribosomal RNA". It matches the Rfam family "Bacterial large subunit ribosomal RNA", at positions 734 to 2548 of the family's 2925-position model. The record is from RNAcentral. Lineage: Eukaryota; Metazoa; Chordata; Actinopteri; Anguilliformes; Anguillidae.